UGGCGAACGGGUGAGUAACGCGUGAGGAACCUGCCUCAAAGAGGGGGACAACAGUUGGAAACGACUGCUAAUACCGCAUAAGCCCACGGGUCGGCAUCGACCUGAGGGAAAAGGAGCAAUCCGCUUUGAGAUGGCCUCGCGUCCGAUUAGCUAGUUGGUGAGGUAACGGCCCACCAAGGCGACGAUCGGUAGCCGGACUGAGAGGGUGAACGGCCACAUUGGGACUGAGACACGGCCCAA
RNAcentral lists this ribosomal RNA (240 nucleotides) under uncultured bacterium. RNAcentral describes it as "partial 16S ribosomal RNA". It matches the Rfam family "Bacterial small subunit ribosomal RNA", at positions 96 to 334 of the family's 1533-position model. The record is from RNAcentral.